GCUGGCGGCAGGCCUAACACAUGCAAGUCGAGCGGUAGAGAGAAGCUUGCUUCUCUUGAGAGCGGCGGACGGGUGAGUAAUGCCUAGGAAUCUGCCUGGUAGUGGGGGAUAACGUUCGGAAACGGACGCUAAUACCGCAUACGUCCUACGGGAGAAAGCAGGGGACCUUCGGGCCUUGCGCUAUCAGAUGAGCCUAGGUCGGAUUAGCUAGUUGGUGAGGUAAUGGCUCACCAAGGCGACGAUCCGUAACUGGUCUGAGAGGAUGAUCAGUCACACUGGAACUGAGACACGGCCCAGACUCCUACGGGAGGCAGCAGUGGGGAAUAUUGGACAAUGGGCGAAAGCCUGAUCCAGCCAUGCCGCGUAUGUGAAGAAGGUCUUCGGAUUGUAAAGCACUUUAAGUUGGGAGGAGGGGUUGUAGAUUAAUACUCUGCAAUUUUGACGUUACCGACAGAAUAAGCACCGGCUAACUCUGUGCCAGCAGCCGCGGUAAUACAGAGGGUGCAAGCGUUAAUCGGAAUUACUGGGCGUAAAGCGCGCGUAGGUGGUUUGUUAAGUUGGAUGUGAAAUCCCCGGGCUCGACCUGGGAACUGCAUUCAAAACUGACUGACUAGAGUAUGGUAGAGGGUGGUGGAAUUUCCUGUGUAGCGGUGAAAUGCGUAGAUAUAGGAAGGAACACCAGUGGCGAAGGCGACCACCUGGACUAGUACUGACACUGAGGUGCGAAAGCGUGGGGAGCAAACAGGAUUAGAUACCCUGGUAGUCC
RNAcentral lists this ribosomal RNA (766 nucleotides) under uncultured bacterium. RNAcentral's name for it is "bacterial SSU rRNA". It matches the Rfam family "Bacterial small subunit ribosomal RNA", at positions 35 to 796 of the family's 1533-position model. The record is from RNAcentral.